GUUGAACGCUGGCGGCGGGCCUAACACAUGCCAGUCGAACGGAAACAGGAGGAGGCUUGCUUCUUUGCGGUCGCGGGGCGGGGGGGUGUGACAUGUGUAUAACACUCCUUUAUGACGGGGGAUACCUAGUGGAAACGGUGGCUAAUACCGCAUAACGUCUCAAGAGCAAAGAGGGAGAGCUUCAGGCCGCUUUCCAGCGGAUGUGCGCUGGUGGCGUACGGGAUUAGCUAGUGGGUCGGGUAACGGCUGACCAAGGCAACGAUCCCUAGCCGAUCUGAGAGGAUGACCAGCCACACUGGAACUGAGACACGGUCCAGACUCCUACGGGAGGCAGCAGUGGGGAAUAUUGCACAAUGGGCGCAAGCCUGAUGGAGCCACGCCGCGUGUAUGAAGAAGGUCUUCGGGUUGUAAAGCACUGUCAGCGGGGAGGAAGGGAGGAAAAUUAAUCCCUGCGCGUAUUGACGGUACCCGAAGAAGAAGCCACGGCUAACUCCGUG
RNAcentral lists this ribosomal RNA (497 nucleotides) under uncultured bacterium. Its description in RNAcentral is "partial 16S ribosomal RNA". It matches the Rfam family "Bacterial small subunit ribosomal RNA", at positions 28 to 507 of the family's 1533-position model. The record is from RNAcentral.